GCGCCCGUAGCUCAGCUGGAUAGAGCAGCGGCCUUCUAAGCCGCGGGUCGGGGGUUCGAGCCCCUCCGGGCGCGCCA
Molecule: transfer RNA, 77 nt
Filed under: Anaeromyxobacter sp. RBG_16_69_14
Lineage: Bacteria; Pseudomonadati; Myxococcota; Myxococcia; Myxococcales; Anaeromyxobacteraceae
Description: tRNA-Arg
Rfam family: tRNA
About the family: Transfer RNA (tRNA) molecules are approximately 80 nucleotides in length. Their secondary structure includes four short double-helical elements and three loops (D, anti-codon, and T loops).
Source: RNAcentral